GUUGACCCUCCCUGUGGUGCUUCCCCUCAUGCCUCAGCGCUGGGAAGUUGUCAGGUUCCCCUGCAGUUAUCCUCAGUGACAGGAACAAAUGUGAAGGGAGGGCUGGGUGUGCCUAGGAGCCCCACAGGAGCAGCAGCUGCUCCUGCAUUGAGUCCCGACGCCUGAACACGCACAGAAGCCAGGCAGCACCAUUCAGCCCCAAGAAAGAUACAGCUAGGUAUCCACGACGGUCUGCGCUUGCACUCUCCAAAGCCUUGGUAAGCAUCAGAGUCUGCCGGAAGUCUGGAUAAAAUUCAGACUGCUGGAGCCCAUCCCAGAACUUCUGCUUCACACGAGAGAGGCCUUGUCUGCGCACGGUGCUAUUCCUGGAUGCUCCAGCCUUUCCUGAACUUUCCUUGGAUCAUUUCCCAGCGUUGAGCCACUGUGUACAUUUGUGCCAGCAGAAGAAAAGGUGCAGAAGGAUGUUAACUGUUCACAGUAGUUACGUGGGGAGGUAGGUGGGUUGGAGUUGCGCAGGUAGAGACAGUUAACUCCCCUUCUCCCCUUCUCUGUUGUUUGGCUUGUUACAGCCAGCAUGCUUUACACACAUAACUUAAAAAAUCCAAUAAAAUUAACGAGCAAGUUGCAAAAGGAGGCAUGCAGCAUGAUCUCAUGCAAAUAAAAUCCAAAACUCUGCUAA
Chinchilla lanigera (long-tailed chinchilla) is the source of this 679-nucleotide long non-coding RNA. RefSeq lists it as uncharacterized. The record is from RefSeq and is a predicted model, not a curated record. The transcript is spliced from 4 exons. NCBI's taxonomy places the organism in Eukaryota, Metazoa, Chordata, Mammalia, Rodentia, Chinchillidae.